GUGGAAGUGAUACGAUCGUUGGCUCCACAACAGGCUGUGAAGAUGGUUCUUCGAGUUCACUUCCAUCACCAUCUCCUGCCCCUAAAGCUGUGAUGGGAAAAGGCAUCCAACCAAACUUCAUCCUGACAUUGCUUAUUUUGGCCGGGCGGGCAGCGGACGGCGGCCGCGUGGUCGUGAUGAGGAGGAACACGGCCUCCCGGCGCUGCCUUCUCAUCAGCGGACCAGUCGAGCACAACGAUGAGGAUCGGGACCGCGGCUCACCACACAGCGGCCCUCGGGGCAGGCGGCAACGGCGUUGCAGAGCGCGGCGGGCAACCACGAUGGAGCCCGGGCAGCUGCUCAUCAGCGUUGCCGCCGGCGCCGCACCUGCUCGGUGGCCGCGGCCUCGAACGCGCGCACGAGGGAAGGCCGCAUCACCAGAUUUACGAGCAGCAGAGGGAGCUCGGGAGGCGGUAUGCGGCGGCGGAGGGCGCUCUGGACGCGGUCUGACGCGAUGGUGGCCGAGGGAGUGGAGCCCGUGUGCGGCGCCGACGGAGAAAAGCGGCUGGGCAAAGUGAAUAACGGGGAGAGAAGGGGAAAAGGAAGCAAAGCGACGGGAAAGGGGAACUGACGAUUUUUGUUUACCGUUUUACCCCCGUCCGAGAAUACUCCGUCUCGUUUUCACGCGUUACUCCACGGACCCAAAACGGAGUAUCAUAGAGUAGUGACUCAUCUGAACCGUUAGAUCAAGUAAAACGAACGGGUAAUAGCUAAAAAUAACAUAUUUGCAUCCUUAUAGGCUGCUUCUGUCGU
Molecule: long non-coding RNA, 792 nt
Organism: Brachypodium distachyon (stiff brome)
Lineage: Eukaryota; Viridiplantae; Streptophyta; Magnoliopsida; Poales; Poaceae
Exons: 2
Source: RefSeq, a predicted model, not a curated record